RNAcentral lists this ribosomal RNA (852 nucleotides) under Triticum aestivum (bread wheat). RNAcentral's name for it is "partial small subunit ribosomal RNA". Lineage: Eukaryota; Viridiplantae; Streptophyta; Magnoliopsida; Poales; Poaceae. The record is from RNAcentral.
AUGGCGCCUUCUGUGUUACUAAAGCAAUGCAACACGAGCUUUCUCAAAAUUGGGGAAUCAAAGAAACAUGAGUUAUUCUGCAGGUUGGGUAGUUCCAUUUGUACUGCUAUGGGCAGUGCUGAUUGCAUCUCUGUUGAAAAAGAAGUGGAAGACAAGAGCACUACUGUACUUACUAGCAAGAUUGAUGGUGGAGUUUCUUUGAAGCCUAAUAGACCUGCACUUGUUGUGAGCAGCACAAGCUGGACACCAGAUGAAGAUUUCAGUAUACUUCUGGAAGCAGCACUGAUGUAUGAUAGACGUGUUGCUGCAACAUUAGGUGAAGAGGAUUCAAUGGAUGAGGGGCAGCUUUGGAUUGAUAUCAAGAACGGAAAGCAAUUUGAUUACCCAAGAUUGCUUUUCAUUAUCACAGGUAAAGGGCCUGAUAGAAAGAAAUAUGAGGAACAAAUAAAAAGGUUGAAACUGAGACGUGUUGCCUUCCGGACUAUGUGGCUUGCAUCGGAGGACUAUCCUCUGUUGCUAGGAUCAGCUGAUCUAGGCGUAUCAUUGCAUACAUCCUCGUCGGGGCUUGAUCUACCUAUGAAGGUUGUUGAUAUGUUUGGAUGUGGAUUACCAGUUUGUGCUGCUUCAUUCUCCUGCAUCGAGGAGCUUGUGAAAGUAAACAGAAAUGGACUUCUUUUCUCAACAUCUUCGGAGCUUGCAGAUGAACUUAUGGUGCUCUUCAAGGGAUUUCCGGAGGAAUGUGACACCUUGAAAUCCCUGAAAGGUGGUGCUUUGAGUACAGGGUCAUCUUCCAAAUGGUCAACAGAAUGGGAAACUAAUGCACUUCCUUUGGUGAAGCAGGUGAUUGGCUAA